GCUAAGAGGACAGGCUGUUCCAUGAGAAGAUCUUGCCCAUGACAGGCUUGUGCAGAAUGAACAGAGAACAUUCAUUACGCAUAAAGACUUUCAGAAGUUCUACACUGCUUUAACUGCAGAGAGCGUCAAAGAAAAGAGUGUCCACAAUGGAAGAGAAAGAAGAAGAGGUGAAGUUAGGGGUGACCAAUGAAAAUUCCAUCUAAGUGACUUGGGGCAACACUAUCAUGUAUAGUGUUAAUAUACAUUAACACUCAAGGAAGAAUAAAUCUGAUUAUAAUAAUGCUUGCCAUUUAUGGAGAAUCUAUCAACUGAGUGUCUUGGAAUGCUUUGUGAAAUUUAAAUCAAUUCCCACAUCACCCC
RNAcentral lists this long non-coding RNA (360 nucleotides) under Homo sapiens (human). RNAcentral describes it as "HSALNT0343069". The record is from RNAcentral. Lineage: Eukaryota; Metazoa; Chordata; Mammalia; Primates; Hominidae.